GUGCCAGCCGCCGCGGUAAUACAUAGGGGUCAAGCGUUGUCCGGAUUUAUUGGGCGUAAAGAGCUCGUAGGCGGUUCAACAAGUCGGUCGUAAAAGUUUAGGGCUCAACCCUAAAAUGUCGAUCGAUACUGUUGUGACUAGGAUACGGUAGAGGUGAAUGGAAUUCCGAGUGUAGCGGUGAAAUGCGUAGAUAUUCGGAGGAACACCAAUUGCGAAGGCAGUUCACUGGACCGUGAUCGACGCUGAGAACGCUAGCCUGGGGGGUCAAACAGGAGUAGAUG
RNAcentral lists this ribosomal RNA (281 nucleotides) under uncultured bacterium. RNAcentral describes it as "partial 16S ribosomal RNA". It matches the Rfam family "Bacterial small subunit ribosomal RNA", at positions 505 to 784 of the family's 1533-position model. The record is from RNAcentral.